GACGAACCGUGCGAACGUUGUUCGGAAUCACUGGGCUUAAAGGGCGCGUAGGCGGCUCAUCAAGUCAGGGGUGAAAUCCUCCAGCUUAACUGGAGAAGUGCCUUUGAUACUGAUGGGCUCGAGGGAGGUAGGGGCAUGUGGAACUUCUGGUGGAGCGGUGAAAUGCGUUGAUAUCAGAAGGAACACCAGUGGCGAAGGCGAGUCUCUGGACAUUUCCUGACGCUGAGGCACGAAAGCCAGGGGAGCAAACGGG
RNAcentral lists this ribosomal RNA (253 nucleotides) under uncultured bacterium. RNAcentral describes it as "partial 16S ribosomal RNA". It matches the Rfam family "Bacterial small subunit ribosomal RNA", at positions 524 to 776 of the family's 1533-position model. The record is from RNAcentral.